RNAcentral lists this ribosomal RNA (468 nucleotides) under uncultured bacterium. Its description in RNAcentral is "partial 16S ribosomal RNA". It matches the Rfam family "Bacterial small subunit ribosomal RNA", at positions 28 to 507 of the family's 1533-position model. The record is from RNAcentral.
GACGAACGCUGGCGGUGUGCUUAACACAUGCAAGUCGAACGGAAAGGCCCUGCUUUUGUGGGGUGCUCGAGUGGCGAGCGGGUGAGUAACACGUGAGUAACCUGCCCUUGACUUUGGGAUAACUUCAGGAAACUGGGGCUAAUACCGGAUAGGAGCUCCUGCUGCAUGGUGGGGGUUGGAAAGUUUCGGCGGUUGGGGAUGGACUCGCGGCUUAUCAGCUUGUUGGUGGGGUAGUGGCUUACCAAGGCUUUGACGGGUAGCCGGCCUGAGAGGGUGACCGGCCACAUUGGGACUGAGAUACGGCCCAGACUCCUACGGGAGGCAGCAGUGGGGAAUAUUGCACAAUGGGCGGAAGCCUGAUGCAGCAACGCCGCGUGCGGGAUGACGGCCUUCGGGUUGUAAACCGCUUUCGCCUGUGACGAAGCGUGAGUGACGGUAAUGGGUAAAGAAGCACCGGCUAACUACGUG